UGGGAGCUGUUUCAUUAAUAUUUCUUUAGAAUGGGCUCUGGGCCUUGGGAACAUUAACAUUUCAAUUUCCCAAGUGCUUCUUUGCUUUCCCAGGGCUCCAUUUUCAUUAUGGCCUUCAUUUUCGAUUUUACUCUAUAUUAGACCCGAUUUACCUAACUACACUAUCUACGUAUCUUUAAAUCUGGCUUCAGUGGGAUGCCAGCAGGUUCCCUUGAUGGUUUGACUGUGUCCCUUGUGGCUUUGAAACUUACAUGUUAUUUUUUUUCUUUUUCCCCUUCCCUAAACUUCUCCCUGAUCAUCUUUUCCCUAAACUUCUCCUCCCUGAUCAUCUUUUCCCUAGACUUCUCCUCCCUGAUCAUCUUUUCCCUAAACUUCUCCUCCCUGACCAUCUUUUCCCUAAACUUCUCCUCCCUGAUCAUCUUUUCCCUAAACUUCUCCUCCCUGAUCAUCUUUUCCCUAAACUUCUCCCUGAUCAUCCAUUCCCUAAACAACUUCUUUCCCAUCUCCUCCCUGAUCAGCUUUUUUUUUUUUUUGGUGGGGGGUACAAGGGCUUGAGUAUCAGGGUCACAGGACCACGGAGCCCCAUCCCCAGCCCUAUCUUGUGUUUUAUGUAGAGACAGGGUCUCUCUGAGUUGCUGAGCACCUCCCUUUGCUGAGGCUGGCUUUGAACUCCAAAGCCUCUGAGAUUACAGGCGAGUGCCACCCAGCCCGCUGCCUGAUUUUCUUUUCCCUGGCCUUCUCCUUGCUGAUCUCCACUCCCCUUAUUUUCUCUGAGCCACCUCUAUAAAAGCCCCUGGGGAUGGGCAGAAUCACAGCCUUUGGGACUGGAGUCCCCUGUGUUUCACCUUUGCUAGCAAAGCAAUAAACCUUUUUCCUUUUUCUCAAGAUCUUGUCUUGGUUAUUGGAUUGCCAUGGAGGCCCAGGACUCCAGCUUCCAGUUACAGAAGUUGUUAGCACAAAAGGACCUGGCCAGACUCAAAACUUCACGGAUCAUCUCAGCCUUUU
This 1005-nucleotide long non-coding RNA is filed under the name Marmota monax (woodchuck). Lineage: Eukaryota; Metazoa; Chordata; Mammalia; Rodentia; Sciuridae. The record is from RNAcentral.